GACGAACGCUGGCGGCGUGCUUAACACAUGCAAGUCGAACGGAAAGGCCCUGCUUUUGUGGGGUGCUCGAGUGGCGAACGGGUGAGUAACACGUGAGUAACCUGCCCUUGACUUUGGGAUAACUUCAGGAAACUGGGGCUAAUACCGGAUAGGAGCUCCUGCUGCAUGGUGGGGUUGGAAAGUGUCGGCGGUUGGGGAUGGACUCGCGGCUUAUCAGCUUGUUGGUGGGGUAGUGGCUUACCAAGGCUUUGACGGGUAGCCGGCCUGAGAGGGUGACCGGCCACAUUGGGACUGAGAUACGGCCCAGACUCCUACGGGAGGCAGCAGUGGGGAAUAUUGCACAAUGGGCGGAAGCCUGAUGCAGCAACGCCGCGUGCGGGAUGACGGCCUUCGGGUUGUAAACCGCUUUCGCCUGUGACGAAGCGUGAGUGACGGUAAUGGGUAAAGAAGCACCGGCUAACUACGUG
Molecule: ribosomal RNA, 467 nt
Filed under: uncultured bacterium
Lineage: Bacteria
Description: partial 16S ribosomal RNA
Rfam family: Bacterial small subunit ribosomal RNA
Source: RNAcentral